Molecule: ribosomal RNA, 397 nt
Filed under: Pseudochattonella sp.
Lineage: Eukaryota; Dictyochophyceae; Florenciellales
Description: partial small subunit ribosomal RNA
Rfam family: Eukaryotic small subunit ribosomal RNA
Source: RNAcentral
AUUCCAGCUCCAAUAGCGUAUAUUAAAGUUGUUGCAGUUAAAAAGCUCGUAGUUGGAUUUCUGGCGUCGCCGCCCGGUCGGCCUCGAAAGGGGUUCGCACUCGUUGGCGCGCGUCGCCAUCCUCGGGGGAAGGCCGCCUGGCAUUAAGUUGUCGGGCGGUCGACGCUCGUCGUUUACUGUGAACAAAUUAGAGUGUUCAAAGCAGGCUUAGGCCGUUGAAUACAUUAGCAUGGAAUAAUGAGAUAGGACUUUGGUGGUCUAUUUUGUUGGUUUGCACGCCGAAGUAAUGAUUAAUAGGGGCGGUUGGGGGUAUUCGUAUUCAAUUGUCAGAGGUGAAAUUCUUGGAUUUAUGGAAGACGAACUACUGCGAAAGCAUUUACCAAGGAUGUUUUCAUCA